Molecule: ribosomal RNA, 1524 nt
Filed under: human gut metagenome
Description: bacterial LSU rRNA
Rfam family: Bacterial large subunit ribosomal RNA
Source: RNAcentral
AGCGGGGCCCAUCCCGUAAGGCUAAAUACUCCCGAGAGACCGAUAGCGAACCAGUACUGUGAAGGAAAGGUGAAAAGAACCUCGAACAGAGGAGUGAAACAGACCCUGAAACCAUGCGCCUACAAGCGGUCGGAGCAUGUUAAAGUGUGACGGCGUGCCUUUUGCAUAAUGAACCUACGAGUUACUCUCGCUGGCAAGGUUAAGCGAUUCAGUCGCGCAGCCGAAGCGAAAGCAAGUCCGAAUAAGGCGUACAGUCAGCGGGAGUAGACGCGAAACCAAGUGAUCUACCCUUGGUCAGGUUGAAGGUUGGGUAACACCAACUGGAGGACCGCACCGAUAAGCGUUGAAAAGCUUACGGAUGAACUGAGGGUAGGAGUGAAAGGCCAAUCAAACUUGGAGAUAGCUCGUACUCCCCGAAAUGCAUUUAGGUGCAGCCUCGAAGUAAAGUGAUAGAGGUAGAGCGACUGAUAAGAUGCGAGGGCUUCACCGCCUAUCAAGUCUUGACAAACUCCGAAUACUAUCACUUGAUCUUCGGGAGUGAGGGCAUGGGUGCUAAGGUCCAUGUCCGAAAGAGGAACAACUCAGACCACCGGCUAAGGUCCCGAAAUAAGGGCUAAGUUGAAUAAACGAAGUAAAACUGCAAAGACAGCUAGGAUGUUGGCUUGGAAGCAGCCAUUCAUUUAAAGAGUGCGUAACAGCUCACUAGUCGAGGAGUUUUGCAUGGAUAAUAAUCGGGCAUAAGCCCUUUACCGAAGCUGUGGAUGUCGUAAGACAUGGUAGGGGAGCAUUCCGGCGGCGACGAAGGCCGUCCUCGAGGACGACUGGAGCUUUCGGAAAAGCAAAUGUAGGUAUAAGUAACGAUAAAGGGGGCGCGAAACCCCCUCGCCAUAAGACUAAGGAUUCCUGAUCAACGCUAAUCGGAUCAGGGUAAGUCGGGCCCUAAGGCGCAGCCGAACGGCGUAGCCGAUGGAAGAAACGGUAAAGAUUCCGUUACUGGAUAUAGGAGCGAUGUGGAGACGGAGAAGUGACACACCCGCCUGCCGACGGAAGCGCAGGUUAAAGGAAGUAGGUAAACGCCGGGUAGGCAAAUCCGCCUGGCGUGCCGAAGCUGACAGUAUCGAGAGCCCCCGGGCAAUCGAAUAGCGGUGGUAACCAGGCUCCCAAGAAAAUCCGCUAAGCAUAUUCUAUAUCCACCCGUACCCCAAACGGACACACGUAGUCGGGUAGAAUAUACCAAGGCGCUCGAAAGACUCACGGUUAAGGAACUAGGCAAAUUGACCCUGUAACCUCGGGAAAAAGGGUCCCCAGUAAGAUGGGGCGCAGAGAAUAGGUCCAGGCAACUGUUUAACAAAAACACAGGGCUGUGCAAAAUUUGAAGAUGAAGUAUACAGCCUGACACCUGCCCGGUGCCGGAAGGUUAAGAGGAGAGCUAAUCGCAAGAGAAGGCUUGAAUUGAAGCCCCGGUAAACGGCGGCCGUAACUAUAACGGUCCUAAGGUAGCGAAAUUCCUUGUCGGGUAAGUUC